GUAUGUAUAAUUUAAUUAAAAUUUUAGAUUGUGAUUCUAAAUAUGAGAGUUAAAACCUCUCUACGGACC
Molecule: transfer RNA, 69 nt
Filed under: Andrias davidianus (Chinese giant salamander)
Lineage: Eukaryota; Metazoa; Chordata; Amphibia; Caudata; Cryptobranchidae
Description: tRNA-His
Rfam family: tRNA
About the family: Transfer RNA (tRNA) molecules are approximately 80 nucleotides in length. Their secondary structure includes four short double-helical elements and three loops (D, anti-codon, and T loops).
Source: RNAcentral